Long non-coding RNA from Plectropomus leopardus (leopard coralgrouper), 548 nucleotides. RefSeq lists it as uncharacterized. Lineage: Eukaryota; Metazoa; Chordata; Actinopteri; Perciformes; Serranidae. The record is from RefSeq and is a predicted model, not a curated record.
CUUCACCUCCACGAUGUGAAGACGAGGCUGGUACUUGUGGAGCGACUGGAGCACGAUCAUCUGGAGCAGAGAGUCAGUUUCCAGUCAUGUGAACGUGCACCUGAUGUUUCCUCAACCCGCCCUUCUCGGAUCUGUUUGUCCAACCUGUCAGCCUGCUCCUGACCAUCGUCCUGACAAGGUGAGCUCAUAAGGGCACACACUGAAGUCAUCAGAGCUGACACGGGUGGCGAGAGGGCAACGGUGUGAGCGACACCGCCGCCGCCACGGCCAGCCAGGCGUGUCCACCCCGACCCCCACCACCUCCGGCAGGAGUCACCACUUCCUCUGCUCUGCUGUCUCUGCUUCCGGCUGCAGCCCCAGGACAUCACCUUGUGCAGCAAUCAGCUUUCAUUUUCUGCUGGAAGUGUUAUUAGCAGUAACCAGGCCGACGUCACAGAUCUAUUCUAGAUGCCCGGUGCAACAGCCGGCCAGCAACAGCAGCAGCAGGGGGAAGGAAUGCCGUCUGUCCGGAGGCCUGGGCAGAGUGAUCCCUGAUCCUGUUGGAGGAA